Molecule: non-coding RNA, 102 nt
Filed under: Alexandrium minutum
Lineage: Eukaryota; Dinophyceae; Gonyaulacales; Pyrocystaceae
Source: RNAcentral
CACUGUCCACCUAUUGCGGGAGGCAGACGUGCUCGAGGCCGUACAGAAGUACCCCGAUGCAGCGCAGAUACCCGCCCGCAACAAGUCCACCUUGCGCGAGCA